GUGAGGAAUAUUGGACAAUGGGCGCAAGCCUGAUCCAGCCAUGCCGCGUGCAAGAAGACGCAUCUAUGGUGUGUAAACUGCUUUUGUACGGGAAGAAACACUCCCUCGUGAGGGAGCUUGAUGGUACCGUAAGAAUAAGGAUCGGCUAACUCCGUGCCAGCAGCCGCGGUAAUACGGAGGAUCCAAGCGUUAUCCGGAAUCAUUGGGUUUAAAGGGUCCGUAGGCGGUUUAAUAAGUCAGUGGUGAAAGCCCAUCGCUCAACGAUGGAACGGCCAUUGAUACUGUUAGACUUGAAUUACAAGGAAGUAACUAGAAUAUGUAGUGUAGCGGUGAAAUGCUUAGAUAUUACAUGGAAUACCAAUUGCGAAGGCAGGUUACUACUUGUGGAUUGACGCUGAUGGACGAAAGCGUGGGGAGCGAACAGGAUUAGAAACCCCGGUAGUCC
Molecule: ribosomal RNA, 445 nt
Filed under: uncultured bacterium
Lineage: Bacteria
Description: partial 16S ribosomal RNA
Rfam family: Bacterial small subunit ribosomal RNA
Source: RNAcentral